RNAcentral lists this transfer RNA (56 nucleotides) under Pleroma blanchetianum. RNAcentral describes it as "Tibouchina blanchetiana partial tRNA-His". The record is from RNAcentral. RNAcentral also lists the same sequence under 1 other name. Lineage: Eukaryota; Viridiplantae; Streptophyta; Magnoliopsida; Myrtales; Melastomataceae.
GGCGGAUGUAGCCAAGUGGAUCAAGGCAGUGGAUUUGUGAAUCCACCAUGCGCGAA